Molecule: ribosomal RNA, 683 nt
Filed under: uncultured fungus
Lineage: Eukaryota; Fungi
Description: eukaryotic LSU rRNA
Rfam family: 5.8S ribosomal RNA (bases 233-386)
Source: RNAcentral
CUUGGUCAUUUAGAGGAAGUAAAAGUCGUAACAAGGUUUCCGUAGGUGAACCUGCGGAAGGAUCAUUAGUGAAUUGAAUAUGUUAGCGGACCUCUUCGGAGUCCCUAGCAUCAAAUCAUAUCCAUAACACCUGUGAACUGUAAGGCUGUCUUGAAAACGAAAGUGAUUAGAGCGCCUGCCCAUUUUAUACAAACAUUAAAGUAACAAACGYRGUCUUAUUAUAAUCUAAUAAAACUUUCAACAACGGAUCUCUUGGCUCUCGCAUCGAUGAAGAACGCAGCGAAAUGCGAUAAGUAAUGUGAAUUGCAGAAUUCAGUGAAUCAUCGAAUCUUUGAACGCACCUUGCGCUCUUUGGUAUUCCGAAGAGCAUGCCUGUUUGAGUGUCAUGAAAAUAUCAACCUUGACUUGGGUUUAGUGCUCUUGUCUUGGCUUGGAUUUGGCUGUUUGCCGCUCGAAAGAGUCGGCUCAGCUUAAAAGUAUUAGCUGGAUCUGUCUUUGAGACUUGGUUUGACUUGGCGUAAUAAGUUAUUUCGCUGAGGACAAUCUUCGGAUUGGCCGAGUUUCUGGGACGUUUGUCCGCUUUCUAAUACAAGUUCUAGCUUGCUAGACGUGACUUUUUUAUUAUCUGGCCUCAAAUCAGGUAGGACUACCCGCUGAACUUAAGCAUAUCAAUAAGCGGAGGA